ACGUAGGGAGCAAGCGUUGUCCGGAUUUAUUGGGCGUAAAGAGCUCGUAGGCGGUUUAGAAAGUCGGGUGUGAAACCUCCAGGCUCAACCUGGAGCCGCCACUCGAUACUUCUAUGACUUGAGUUCGGUAGGGGAUCACGGAAUUCCUGGUGUAGCGGUGAAAUGCGCAGAUAUCAGGAGGAACACCGGUGGCGAAGGCGGGUCUCUGGGCCUUACCUGACGCUGAGGAGCGAAAGCAUGGGUAGCCGACAGGA
RNAcentral lists this ribosomal RNA (254 nucleotides) under uncultured prokaryote. RNAcentral's name for it is "partial 16S ribosomal RNA". It matches the Rfam family "Bacterial small subunit ribosomal RNA", at positions 525 to 777 of the family's 1533-position model. The record is from RNAcentral.